AGAGUUUGAUCCUGGCUCAGAUUGAACGCUGGCGACGUGCUUAACACAUGCAAGUCGUGCGAGAAAGUAGACUUCGGUCUAUGAGUAGAGCGGCGCACGGGUGAGUAACGCGUGGAUGAUCCACCCUUGAGUUCGGGAUAACGGUGCGAAAGCGCCGCUAAUACCGUAUAACAAUCCAUUUCAUCGUGGGUUCAAAGCAGGCCUCUUCGUGAAAGCUUGCGCUUGGGGAUGAGUCCGCGUCCCAUUAGCUUGUUGGCGGGGUAACGGCCCACCAAGGCUACGAUGGGUAGCUGGUCUGAGAGGAUGAUCAGCCACACUGGAACUGAAACACGGUCCAGACUCCUACGGGAGGCAGCAGUGGGGAAUAUUGCGCAAUGGGGGAAACCCUGACGCAGCGACGUCGUGUGAGGGAAGAAGGCCUUCGGG
Molecule: ribosomal RNA, 426 nt
Filed under: uncultured bacterium
Lineage: Bacteria
Description: bacterial SSU rRNA
Rfam family: Bacterial small subunit ribosomal RNA
Source: RNAcentral